UCCCCAUGCCCCUCUCGUUAUAAAGCUGUGUUUCCGCGCUGUGAGUCCCUCCACACAGAACAGCCCAGAGGCGGCAGAGAGACGCACCAACACAUCUCACAUGAGAGAGCGCGCAUCUGUUCUGUCCGCGUGGCUACAUACAGCAGGUGACUGGCUGAGCAUUUACAGAUAAACAUAAGGAGGCGCGGUAUGAACAUCUCCCCUCCCCUCAACAACGCUCGAAGAAAGAUGGCUGUGACAACUCCAACUGUUUUUCCUCCUGUCUCCUUUUUCUUUCUUCUGUUAAACAGGCUCAAAUGUUAUGGUUCCAAAGAACAUCUGGAGGGCGGCCAUGCAACCAGGCCAACAGUUCCACUGAUGGCAAGAGCGCUGUUGGGUGCUUUUGAUGUUGACAUGUUGCUGAAAAGCAACCUGCGAGUUGUUGCUUUCCCCCUACAAAUGCUGUCAUUAAGCGCUUCCCGGGUGCAACAAAAGGACAAGUGGGAACGGCUUACAACUGUAAAAUGCCUGAAUUAAGAAGCAAUGAGAGAAACAAAUAAAAUGAAUAGGAUUAAG
This is a long non-coding RNA of Oncorhynchus tshawytscha (Chinook salmon), 555 nucleotides long. The record is from Ensembl. Lineage: Eukaryota; Metazoa; Chordata; Actinopteri; Salmoniformes; Salmonidae.